This 5707-nucleotide long non-coding RNA is filed under the name Spirodela polyrhiza (greater duckweed). RNAcentral's name for it is "long non-coding RNA (SPOL_LNC001355)". The stretch from base 133 to 216 matches the Rfam family "small nucleolar RNA snoR117". The record is from RNAcentral. Lineage: Eukaryota; Viridiplantae; Streptophyta; Magnoliopsida; Alismatales; Araceae.
AACCCUAUGACGAAACCCUAAGCUCUCGCUCUCUCUGCAGACGGCUGCGGCUCCCCUCCGCCUCUCUACCUGGUCCGCAGCUCCUCCUCCUCUCUCCCUCUUCGUGUUCUUGUCAUUGCGUCCGGAGACUGUGGCCGCUGAUGCUAUGCAUUGUCCGUACCAUCCGAGAACCGCCUGCGGUUUCUGAUGAGACGCAUCAUCUCCUAACUGAGGCCGCGAUGUCGUUGCACGCCUGAUCGCUAUAUUUCUUUUCGAAUUUCGUUACGCCGUCUCUUCCGCUUUCGCCUUCGAUCGGCGAUUCCCGAUUGGAAUUUGUCGGUGUAGGGGCUAUUGGAUUACCAUAUGCGCUUGGUGGAGGGUGGAUCUAACCUGUUCUUGGUCACGGGUUUAUCUGCUGUUCCUAAAAGGCUUCUAUUAUCUGGAAUGGUCCGAUUGCGCGAGGGAUUUCUCCUGUUUUCGCUGUACAACCGAUUUCUAAAGAUUUACGUUAAUCUGAAGAUCAUUACUAUACAAUGGUUGCGCACAUUUGCGUCUUAUGGAUCGUGUAAUGGAAGGCAACAAAUUAGAGUCGCUGGCAUGCUCACUCGAUAGCACUGCCAGCGCUGUACGUUGCCGAGACCAAUUUGAGCUGCAGAUUCUGGCAAAGCCGGUUUGAUAACUCCGCCUUUGCAUUCAGAUGCUCUGAUAUUCCUAUACUCGUCCCCAAAUCUCCCACUCCUGCGUGCCUCCUUCGCGUCCUUUUUUACUUCGUUCUCAGCUUCAGGUUUCUGUCGCCAAACGCCGCACGAAAGAGUCACCAUUAUGAUUGAUCGCUCCUCAGUCGUUGCUUAUGGAGUUGUCAAAUUUAAUAGAUUAUGGAAUCCAAAUAGUUUUUUUAAGAAAGCUAAACAAAUUUAGAUAGUGCAGGUCGAAUCUGGACGGAGGAAUCUCGAAUCUACAGAAGAUUUAAGUCUCAAAGUUUCAGUUAUCUAAUCUCAUUAUGCUUUCAGUCUGCAAUAAUAUAUGAUUUAAAACAUGAUGGACUAAUCUCUGUGGCCCUCGUAAUGAAGGUUUGGGAAUAAACACGUAAUGAAUGGUUCACACAGCCAAUCUCUACGACAGCAUGUAUAAAGGAAUUGUUUUAGACUCUAGCCAAAAUUGUGCAAGAAAGCAAAAUUCUAAAGUUGAUAGAUGAUAUAAAGGAAUUGUUUAAGGCUCGUUAAAAUUGCGUAAGAAGACGAUCCUAAUCCACUUUCCUUAGUUUCCAUCUGUCAGCUAAAACUCUUUAUGACAUAUUAUUUUGUUGGGUCUGCUUUUAUCUUUUAAGUCAUUGGGCCUUUAUUUCCCUUGGGCUCUAUCUUUUUAAGCCCACAUAUUCAAUAGUACUUGAAUAGCUGUCACUUUUCUUGCCAUUCGUAAUAAAAUACAUGAUUAUUGAUUUGUAAUAUUUUAUUAAUAGUGGUUUAAUAAGUAAUGGGCAUCUUUAACAAUCGAAAACAUGUAACCAUCAUGGUAAUGAGUGUUUAUGUCAUAUUUUUUAUGCAAGAGGUUAGAAUUGCAUACUUUUGUACCUUUUUUACCUCUUAGCCAAUUGAGAUCUCAACUAUUACAAUCAUACUUACUAAGGAGGAGAUAUGAGAUGUGGUUUUCUCGAUGAAUAGAAAUUGAGUACUUAGAUUUGAUGGUUUUUUAGUUGAUUUCUAUAUAGUAUAUUGGAUAUUGUUGGAAUAAACCUAGUUUAUAUCAUCAAGGAAUUCUUACACCACAAAGUCUUCUUACAGAGUUGAAAAGUCACAUUUAUUACAUUCAUACCAAAGGUGGUCAACCCAAUUUUUUUUACAAACUUUCAGCUCAUCAAUCUUACUAAUGUGUGUAAGAAGAUUAUAUUUAAGAUCAUUAUAACAUGACUAAGCCUCUUCCUUGAUAGACUCAUAUUUAUAGAGUAAUACAAAUUUGUAAAUAAACGACACAUUUAUAAUAACAUCAUAUUCGUUCAUGAAUUAUUAUAGUCUUUUGAUAAUGACAUUUAUAGUUCCAACAUCAUCAUCAAACUAAAUAUAGAAAAAGCUUUUUAAUAAGAUCGAGUGAAAUUUGGUGCUUUGGAUUCACUAAUAAGUUCAUUGACCUAGUCAAUACAUGUAUUAGGGAUAAUCAUUUCUUUCUAUUAGUGAAUGACACUUUCACCCCCUUAUUCAAGGUAAUACAAGGGCUACAACAAGGUGAUCUCUUAUCACCCACUCUUUUCAUAUUAUUUGAAGAAGUCCUCAAUCAAACCCUCACUUAAGUGGUGACAUGCAAAUUUAUCCAAACAUAUCAUUUGAAGAGGGGUUGGCUGAUCAUAUUGUAUUUCUUAUUUAUUUAUGACAUGAUAAUUUUCCUUAAUAGAUGUGAAGCAUUGAUCAUGAGACUUAUGAUUAUCAUCAUGAGUUAUGAGCAAGUCACAAGUUAACUCAUUAAUAUCUUGAAGAGCAUUUUCAUAGUGGCAUCUUCCAUCACCAUUAACACUAUAUGACUCAUAUAGGAUAUAAUAGGGUUCUCACAAGGACAUCUACCAUUUGAUUACUUUGGAUGCCCCAUCUUCUCAAGUUCAUUAUUUUGAUACCCUUUUGUGUAAGUUAAGGAAAAAAUUUGUUAGAUGAAAGCUUCAAUUUUUAUCUCUAAGAGGUCAUGUCCAAUUGAUACCUCAUGUCCUCAUACGUAUAUAGUUGCACCUAUUUACAGUACACGAGGUAUCAAACAUUAUCUUAUGAUAUGUGAGGAGGAUAUGUACCUCAUUCUUGUGGGAUGGUUAGGUCAAUGGGUCUCAUCGCCAACAUCAAAUUUAUUGAGAGAAAGCAUGUUAACCCACAAAGGGUGGCCUAAGGAUUAGAUGUUUUAAAGACAUCCUUAACAUUGUCUUAUGAAAAACUCAUAUGACGGAUGAGGACAAUGAGAUCACUCAUAAAGACUUCUAUGUCUGUCAAAUAUGACGAGUGAGCUAACUAACCAGUAUACAUAAAACAAGUGAAAUGGUGGGUGAAUUGGCAAAAACAUUGGCUCUAGAUGAAACCUUUAAUCUAGUGGCAAGUGGACAAGGCACUAUCAAUGCCUUGUAUCAAACUUAACUUGUGGAUAUUCCCUUGGCCUCCUCUACCUCUUUUAUACUAUCUUAACCCUACCUCACGAUUACUCAACUUCCCGAGGGAGAUAUUAGAUUGCUCCAUAAGUGGCACACACUCUCCUUAUAUUGUUGAUAAAGUUGGGCCCUAGUGGUGAUCAACCUAUCUAGACUCUCACCUUAGAUGGGAGUUUCUCUUGUAAUUCUUCUUAGAACUACUUUAGAAAAUGUUCCACAAAGUAGUUUUGGAAAAAUUUCAUUUGGCACUAUACUAUCGUACCUCAAGUUUUUUUCUUCAUGUGGAAAUUAAUGCAUCAAAGAUUUCUUAUGAUGACUAUUUGGUUAUCACGAGACACUACACUCAUUCUAGGUGUCAUUAUUUCCCCACCAAUCUGAGGAGUAAAACUAUAGACCACUUAUUUUUCUAUAGCAUCAUUGUUACAAAAUGUUAAAACCAACUUUUAGCAAACUAGUCCCUAGCAUUCUAUCCUCUUUCAUCUCUUAUACCCUUAGAGAUUUUCAAAAGAGUCUUUGAUUCCUUAUAGAGCUCUGGGGGCAGCCCUUACCUAUAUAUUUUCAUAGUAUACAUGUUAUGGGAGAUAUGAAAGAGGUUAAAUUUUUCUCAUUUUACAAGUCAGGCAAUGGUCACCUCAGAGGUCAUGAGGCACAUCACAUAUUGGUUGUGGAAUAUCUAUCCUCUGGUGUCACUUAUUGCGUUAUGCUCAACCUCCAUUUGUAAGACAUUCACGACAUGAGAAAUCCAAGCCUUGUGUAUGUAUACACAAAUGACCGCUCAAGUUGUCCUUUGUAGACCACCGCCAAUAGGACAUCUAAAGCUCAAUGUCGAUGAAGUAGCUCGUGAGAACCCUAGACCUACAAGGGGAGGAUAUAUCUUAUGAGAUCAUAUAGGGAGUAUUAUCUUUGCCUCUUCCUAUUAUUAUGAUGUUUAGACUAACAUGACAAUAGAGGUUGUGUUGAUAUGCGAUGAUUUGCUCCUCUAUGAAGAAUGUAACCUACAUAUUAUCAUUUUAUAAUCCAACUUAAUAGUGUGAGGUGAAAUGUUGUAUGCAAGUAUAUAUUUUUAUUAACGACUCAUAAGCACCUAGAUGAAUAUCAUGUGUUAUCAUAAGAGGAUCAAUGCUAUCACACAUUAAUUAACUACGUGAGGGGAACUAGACAACAAGUAUGCUUGCUACACAUGUAGUAUGCACCUAUCUAAGAUCUGUUUCUUCUCUUGACAAGAUAUGCCCACAAAAGCUUGAAGUUAACACCACUUGGAGCGACUCGGCAUACUAACACUAUGCAUAGAGAGAAAGUUUCUACCUAAUAUAUCCUAGUAAUGGUGUAUCAUUUGAGGCAGCUCAAUGUCGAUGCUAACACACAAUGGAUGACAAAACAUAUUAUGAUCCUUCUAAGUAUAUCACUUUCAAUCACUACUUUCCUCAUAAUCACCUCACUUUCACCAUACACCACCACAUGUCAUGAGGACACACAUAACUACCAACACAUACUAGCAUUUGCCCACUUUUAGACUCUAGGUUUAUUGUACAUCAGUCGUUUUAAAUUAGUUGUGAAUCGUCAUCCCAACAUCUUCAAGAUCUCUUUAGUACCAUUAGUCAAGCUUAAACCCACGAGAAGGUAAAGUCUUAUAUCCACAAAGUUGAUCCUCCCUUUCUCUCUCUCUUUCUCUCUUUCUAAAAAAAAAAAAGAAGAGGUAGCCUACUUCUCUUCCCAUAAUCAAUAGCCCAAUAUUUGAAAAAAAUGUCAUGUAAUAUAAAGCCGAAAAGCAAAAGGCACAAAAGGCCACUUCUUGUACACCAAAAGCUUCAAAAUAAUUAGUAGAGUGUGAGGGAAGAGGUCUUCACAAAAAAAAAGAGUUAAAAAGAGAUAACAAGUUAUUCUAUUGUGGUGUGAAAGGUUUUUUAACUAUUUGGAGGAAGUACAAUAAUUAAUGGUAUUAACAAGAUCUUAACAAGAGGGAUUAGAAGUGUGGAACACUAGGAAAGGCAAGUCCAUAGGUGGGCUAUUGCCACAAGCUCUAACAUAGUUAUGUUAUCUUCACUACCCUCGCCAACCUACUUUCUCAUCACUUCACACACUUUUUAUCUUUAUUAGAACAACUUACUACAACAGAUUUACAUCUUACAGAAACACUUCAUGUCAUACAACAUGGAGGAUAAUCCAUCCCACUAGUGUUGUGCAGAGCUUUCAACAUCAUUGAUUGAAGUCUCCACUAGCCCAAUCCAAUAUUUUCUACUUCAUCAAUACUUUUGAGCAAAGUGAAGCCUCUCUCUCUCUCUCUCUCUCCUACUUCAUCAUACUCCUCUACUUGUGGAGGNNNNNNNNNNNNNNNNNNNNUCCUCUCUCUCUCUCUCUCUCCACUUUCAUCAUAUCCUCACUUGUGAGGAUGCUUAUAGCUUCUCCUCCCUGCCAUCUAAGAGGGUGAGACCCCUCUCAUGCAACCUUAGAGUGAGGUGAAAACUUGCAACAUUAAAUGAAACUUUUUCUUUUUUUUAAAAAAAUUUAUGUGUAGAUGACCACCAAUUGACAAGAAUCUCUCCCUCUCUCUGACAUGUAUAUAUAUAUAUAUAUGUACAUCUUUCUAUCUAUAUAUCUAUGUGUAAAGCACCU